Sceloporus undulatus (fence lizard) is the source of this 3212-nucleotide long non-coding RNA. RefSeq lists it as uncharacterized. The transcript is spliced from 3 exons. Lineage: Eukaryota; Metazoa; Chordata; Lepidosauria; Squamata; Phrynosomatidae. The record is from RefSeq and is a predicted model, not a curated record.
CCUGUGACUCAGCACAGCUCAAUUGCUGAUUCCUCAUGGCUCCUGUUGGGCACAAGGUAACCCUGUCACCUUUGUCCCACAUCUGGACAUUUCCCCCAGGAUCCAUUCCUUGACAUUUAAUAUUGAAAGAAAGCCUUCACCCUCUGUCAAGAAUCCAAACCUUUGGCAGCAUUGUUUCCUGGAAAUGAAAUGGCUCCUUUCCAGAUUUUACCUUGGCGGAGACUUGGGAAUUCUCAGUACACUGUAUUCUUUGGUUUACCUGAAAUACCUAGUCAUACAUAACCAGGAGGAAACAACUAUGUGAAGUGGUAUAUAGGCAGAUGACUUUUCCACAAAUGAAUUAUGAUGUAAGACAAAAAAACGUGUUUCCUACCUUCUCAUUUCUCAAAUUCAUAAUUUGAAGUGCUGCUUGUAAUGAUAUUUUAACAUAAAUAUUUUCAAAAAUAAAUGCAAUGGUUAUAUUUAUUUUCAUCUAGCUUGGAGCAAUGUUAGGUUGAGAUUCCACACAGGCCUAUACAGGAACAUUCAGUGUUAAAUUAAUUGGAUUAAAAUGCAGAAUCAGGGCCCAAGAUACUGUGGAGAAAGACUAUAAAAAUAGCUGAAAAGGGCAGGUAAAGUAACAUUGUGUUAUAUAGCCAACCAUUUGUAAAAUGUCACUGCAAAGCAUGUGAACUAUCAUGCCAAACAAAAGUUAGUACCAAUGUGUUACCCCAUUACAUGAACAGAGCAUCCAGCUAUAAUUCAGCCUCACAUGAUAAGCAGAUUGAUGAAGCAAGACAUGCAAACAUGGUCAAAAUUUCCAGACUGAUUCUGCUGAGUGGUAAACCAUAAAAACUGCUCUAAAUUGGACCAGUUCUGGACACUGCCUUCUCUCCUUUCUGUUUGCCACUGGCCUCUUCCAAGGGAAAUAUGGGAGCUGUUAUAUGGAUUCUGUGACUGACACUCUUUAAGGUGAUACUGGAUUAGGAUUUCCAUAUAAAAAAUCUAAAAGUCUAAACAGAGGGCUAGAUCCAAUUGCUUGUUCCAUAUAGAAUAUAUAUCUAGUGAAUGAAUGUGGACUAUGUAGUUAAUUAAACAAGUAUGUAAGGCUGACUGAGUCAAUAGAUCUACUUGGGACUAAUAACUGGAUUUAGCCAAGCGACUGCUACAAUGAUUGUUCAUUAGAACUUGGUGGAACAGGCAAUGCUCUGAAAUAUGGGUUAUCAAUUACAUUUGUUUAACUGCCAUGAUUGCAGAUAUGGGCAUUAUUUAAAAGGAGGGCAUCCGACAACCCUAGUGCAAAGUAAGAUAAUUUUAAAAUUGUGUUCCACUUAUUUUAAAAUGUGCAAUAAAAUUUUUAAAAUCACUUCUGUCAGAAAAGGAACCUACGUAUCAGCCUUUUAAAGAUAUCUUUACAUGACAUAAUUUUAAAAUAAACAUUUUCAAGUUAUAUCUCUCAAUAUUUUUGGUGAUCAGGUGCACAAACAUUUAAAACAGAGGUGAAAUUGACUGUUAUUUAGAACAUUAAUUUAACAUUCAGGAAAACACUGAACUGAAAAUUACAUAACCCCAAAUAUAUAUGAACUACAGAGGAGUUAUAAAUACAUUAUAGCUACUGAAUGCAUGCUUAACAUUCCAUCAUAAAAAUACAAAAUAAAAAAAAUCCCUUUACAGUUCAAGUGAUUUAAUGUGAGCAGACAAAAAUGAUGUACUGAACCAGCCAGUAUCAUUUUAAAACUCAAGCCUCCCUACUGAAACAGAUUGAACACUGAUAUAACAUAAGAAAAAGUCUUUUGGAGUGUACAUGGGAAACUGUGCAGACAUUGCAGAUUUUUUUCUUAAGACACAAAACAUGUAAAAUUGCCAAUUAAUCACUUCAUUGUAAAUCUUGCUCUGGCAGUAUCUAAAUCCUUAGGCUAGGAUCCAAAGAGCCACAAGGGGAAAUCCAUGAUUUGAAAAGCUACCUCCUCUUCACCAAAACUACUUCCUACACUCUGUAGAAUUUUAAGCACAACCUCCAGUACAAUUUAGAGAAGUUGUGGGCAGACAAAGAAACAAAAAAUAAAAUAGCCUUGAUGUAUAUGUGGAAGCAUUUUUGUACAGCUAAUGAACCCUUUGGAUAACCUUAGCCUGAAGUAUACCAAUAACUAUGCCCAUAGUAACACUAACAUUAAAAUGAUAAGCCACCAUUGCAGGCAGAUGUCAACAUAAGUAUGGGAGAUCUGUGGACAAGAGAUCAAAAUGAAAAUUAUAUUUCUGCAAGAUCCUUGUUGAAAGCAGGAAAAAGUGAUGACUACAAAGAAAGGGAAAGAAGAGAUGCAAUCAAAGAGACACAUGCAAAUGGCUAUUUAAGCAAGUGUUCCAGUUGCUGUCCAUUUUUUUAACAUUCAUUUUCACACACAGAUAGAAGACGACUUAGGUGGUUGUGCUGACAAUUUAAAGGGGGAAUAUUGCUAGCAGAAGGAUUACCAGUGUAGUUAAAUACCAAUUUUCUAGAGGCAAGUUCUGUAUAAAUAUGAAUUCGUUUUAAACCUGUUCCCAUGAAGGUAAAUAUUAUUUCAAAUAUUUUUGAAAAUAUUUUGACCACCAUCUUGUAGCUUGGUUUAUGAGCUAGCUCUACUUGAACGUAUUAUGUUAUAUUUUGGAUAACCUUUUUGUUUUUUUUUUCUGGGAAGGAUAUAUAUUAAAGAUAAGGAUUCCAGAGGGGAGGGAUAAAGAAACAAUUUAUUGAAUACUGAAAUAAAGAAAGAUGAGGGACAGUAUAAGCUAAUUCUUGGUAAAGGAUGUUUUAAAAGGCUAUCAGAAGAAAGAUGGAGAAAAAAUAUGCCCACCAAAUGCAUUGUAAGUUGCAACUGGUCAAAAUCUAGAGAGCUAUAUAGGAAAACUAUUAGUUUUAUUACAUGAUGUCCUAUUUUCUAACCACCCCAAGUAGAUAGUUUGGUAAGUAGACAAAACAGGGUUUUCUCUGUAGUGGCUUCCCAACUACGACAAUUUCCCCAAGGGAAGUCAGGCAUGUUCCAUUCCUUAUGAGCUUCCAGCAAGCAGCCAAAGAUGUACUGUUUCAUACAGCCAUUGCCCUUAAAGCAAGGUGGUAUUUCUAGUUGCUUUAGGUGUCUCUCUCCGUGUGUUUUAAGAAUUUUUUUUAAUUUAAAAAACUGUCUUAGGUUCAAAACACACUGCAGAAAUAAUCCAGUUUGAGACCAUUUUAACUGCUUUGGCUCAGUGCUAGGGAA